Carassius gibelio (silver crucian carp) is the source of this 1201-nucleotide long non-coding RNA. RefSeq lists it as uncharacterized. The transcript has 2 exons. Lineage: Eukaryota; Metazoa; Chordata; Actinopteri; Cypriniformes; Cyprinidae. The record is from RefSeq and is a predicted model, not a curated record.
CCAAAAACACUACACAUAAUCUUGUAGAUUACAAUCUGCAACUAGACGGAUGUACUGUUACUUCCUCUACAGUCAGAAAUCUGGGUGUUAUAUUAGACAGCAAUUUGUCUUUUGAAAAUCAUAUUUCCAAUGUUACAAAAACUGCAUUCUUCCAUCUUAGAAACAUUGCCAAGCUAUGAAACAUGUUAUCUGUUUCUGAUGCAGAAAAGCUAGUUCAUGCAUUCAUGACCUCUAGACUGGACUAUUGUAAUGCACUUCUAGGUGGUUGUCCUGCUUCGUCAAUAAACAAGCUACAGGUCGUCCAAAAUGCAGCAGCUAGAGUCCUUACGAGGUCAAGAAAAUAUGAUCAUAUUACCCCAAUUUUACAGUCUCUGCACUGGCUACCUAUUAAGUUCCGCAUCAGUUACAAAUUAUCAUUACUUACCUAUAAGGCCCUAAAUGGUUUAGCUCCAGCGUACCUAACUAGCCUUCUACCACGCUACAACCCAUCACGCACCCUAAGGUCACAAAACGCUGGACUUUUGGUAGUUCCUAGGAUAGCAAAGUCCACUAAAGGAGGUAGAGCCUUCUCACAUUUGGCUCCCAAACUCUGGAAUAGCCUUCCUGAUAAUGUUCGGGGUUCAGACACACUCUCUUUGUUUAAAUCUAGAUUAAAAACACAUCUCUUUCGCCAAGCAUUCGAAUAAUGUAUCUUUUUAAUUGUGAGUGUAGUUGCAUCUGAUCAAAGGUGCAUUUUUAUUCAUUAGCUUGGGUUAAACUAAUUUUACUUUGUUGGAUCAGCAGCUAUGCUAAUGAUGUCUGUAUUUUGUUUCUAUGUUUUGCCACGGGAUUCACAUCCCGUGGUAACUAGGAUUUACACAAGCUCCAGUCUGGAUCCAGAACACCUGAGAAGAGAUGAUGCUGACCAUCAGAGGACCUCAGAUGAUGCUAACCCUGAAUGAACAAACAGAACUAACAAUUAUUCCUAAAUGUGUGACUGAAUCAUAUAAUAACUUAAUUAAUAAUAUUGAUAGUUCAUCGUCUAGCUGACUACGUCUUGUAUUAUUAUUAUUUUUUAGUUUUUCUAAAAUCCUGUCAAAUGUGCACAAACUACUAGCUACUACUAAAUAUUGUAGAAACAUAAUUUUCUGUAAAGUUGCUUUGUAACGAUUUGUUUUGUAAAAAGCGCUAUACAAAUAAACUUGAAUUGAAUUGAAUUGAA